GAAAGCAGGGGAUCGCAAGACCUUGCGCUUUUGGAGCGGCCGAUGUCUGAUUAGCUAGUUGGUGAGGUAAAGGCUUACCAAGGCGUCGAUCAGUAGCUGGUCUGAGAGGACGACCAGCCACACUGGGACUGAGACACGGCCCAGACUCCUACGGGAGGCAGCAGUGGGGAAUUUUGGACAAUGGGGGAAACCCUGAUCCAGCCAUGCCGCGUGAGUGAAGAAGGCCUUCGGGUUGUAAAGCUCUUUCAGCCGGAACGAAACGGUCACAGCUAAUACCUGUGACUACUGACGGUACCGGAAGAAGAAG
RNAcentral lists this ribosomal RNA (307 nucleotides) under Nitrosospira sp. RNAcentral's name for it is "bacterial SSU rRNA". It matches the Rfam family "Bacterial small subunit ribosomal RNA", at positions 202 to 490 of the family's 1533-position model. The record is from RNAcentral. Lineage: Bacteria; Pseudomonadati; Pseudomonadota; Betaproteobacteria; Nitrosomonadales; Nitrosomonadaceae.